GAAUUAUAUCAUAAAUUAAUAUCAAAUAUUAAGUUUCUUUUAUUAUAUAACAAGAAUUGUAGUAAAUAUUAAAUCCCCAAAUUUUCGAACUUAGUGGAGAUUUAAUUUUGAAGAUAGGCGGAAAGGAGCGAACUUGCUCACCCAUACAAUCAACGCAUGCACCAAACACGUCUGUAUACGUACGGCUGCUCUUAAUUUCAUGAUCGACUAGUUCAAUAAUUUUUCAUUUGGGUAACUGAGAGCAAAAUUAGAAUUAAAUGAAUGAUCUUCUGUUAACAACGUUGGACGAGCGAUAAACAACACAACUUGAACAUACAACAGCAUUAUAAUGGCAGUAUCAAAGAGGGAGGAGAUCCUCUCACUGAUUGCAACAGUUGGCAGCUCUAGAAAAAAACCCCCCAAGUCAAUUCACGUCGUAUCCCCUUCAACUCUGCCUGCCACCCGAUAAACAUCCAUUGCCUAUAGUUGGAGAGGCCCCCAAAAAUGGACCUAAAGUCCAAAGAAUCGAUAUCUAGUGAUGGUCAUCCUUUUGAAUUCGUCAACAGAAUUCAGGCGACAAUGAGUCUUUAAUAUGCACUUUCAUUGGCACUGAUUCAUCUGCCAAUUCAACUCGUCAACAAGGUUUUUGAUGGUCUCUUCAAA
Molecule: unclassified non-coding RNA, 642 nt
Filed under: Hevea brasiliensis (rubber tree)
Lineage: Eukaryota; Viridiplantae; Streptophyta; Magnoliopsida; Malpighiales; Euphorbiaceae
Source: RNAcentral